AACUGGUGAUGUUUCAUUAUAUAAGAGUAGUGGACAGAAGAGAUUUCUGAAACUGAAUGGCUGAAGUU
Small nucleolar RNA from Gymnodraco acuticeps, 68 nucleotides. RefSeq annotates it as small nucleolar RNA SNORD75. The transcript has a single exon. The record is from RefSeq and is a predicted model, not a curated record. Lineage: Eukaryota; Metazoa; Chordata; Actinopteri; Perciformes; Bathydraconidae.